RNAcentral lists this ribosomal RNA (775 nucleotides) under uncultured Neocallimastigales. RNAcentral describes it as "partial large subunit ribosomal RNA". It matches the Rfam family "Eukaryotic large subunit ribosomal RNA", at positions 23 to 645 of the family's 3401-position model. The record is from RNAcentral. Lineage: Eukaryota; Fungi; Neocallimastigomycota; Neocallimastigomycetes; Neocallimastigales.
GAGACUCUGUGCGCGUGCAUAUCAAUAAGCGGAGGAAAAGAAACUAACAAGGAUUCCCUUAGUAACGGCGAGUGAAGCGGGAAGAGCUCAAAUUUGAAAUCUUCAAGGUUCUACCUUGACGAAUUGUAGUUUAUAGAAGUGUUUUCUGUUAGUAGAGUGGCAAAAGUUCUUUGGAAUAGGACAUCAUAGAGGGUGAGAAUCCCGUAUUUGGUCAUUCUCUUCCUAGCUUUGUGAUACACUUUCAACGAGUCGGAUUGUUUGGGAAUGCAGUCCAAAAUGGGUGGUAAAUUUCAUCUAAAGCUAAAUAUUGGCGAGAGACCGAUAGCGAACAAGUACCGUGAGGGAAAGAUGAAAAGAACUUUGAAAAGAGAGUCAAACAGUACGUGAAAUUGUCAAAAGGGAAGCGUUUGACACCAGUGUUGUUUUUCCGAAAAUCAAUUACGAAUGUUUUGUUUUUGAGAAGUUAUGACUUCAUCGGCUUGCUUCUCUCUUUACGAAACUUUCUUAAUGCACUUUUCGGUUAACAAGUCAACAUCAAUUUCUUUUGUUGUAAAAGGGUAUGAGGAAGGUGGCUUUCUUUUCGGAGAAAGUGUUUAUAGCCUUGUGCCUCUGCAAUCGGAGAGAUUGAGGUCUGCAGCGUAGAUCCUUCGGGGUUAGAUACGUUUGUGCUAAGUUAUAGCUUUUCAUAGACAACUUGUUGACUAUGUUAGUCUUGUAGCUUACUCGCUGAUGCUAUUUUACCUACGCUUAGGAUGUUGAAGUCAUCGUAUCGCGC